Non-coding RNA from Callorhinus ursinus (northern fur seal), 535 nucleotides. The record is from RefSeq and is a predicted model, not a curated record. NCBI's taxonomy places the organism in Eukaryota, Metazoa, Chordata, Mammalia, Carnivora, Otariidae.
UGAGGCAGCAGGGAUAAAAGCCCGGCAAGUGAAGGAUCAAGAGAAAAUGGCUGGAUACUCAUUUCCAAUGAGAUAAAUCGGCAUAUGUUCAGCACUAGGAAUGAGGUUCCACCAUUGAAAUUUUGAACACCUGUUGAUCCCAACAACAUCCCCGGGCAAAAACUCUUUGGAAGGAAGGAUGCACAGAUCUAUACCAGUUGUGUGUCUACGUAACCAGAAACAAAUACUAUCUUGCACUGAAGGCCAAGAGCAAUCUAUUGCAGGGGAGAUGCAUACUGCAGGGAACCCUUUCAAGACAACACAACAGUUGUUCUUCAUUUUAAUCUGAGUCCUGUGUGGGCCAAAGCCUCGUGCUGCCACAAUGACCUCAGCUCACCCCACAGCCCCUGGCAUGUCCUUACUGUCACGGCCAAGUCUCUUGAUGCCCGUUCCCAAGCUGCUGCCAGAGAACGACCAGGGCAGGUGCGUUUUAAGCUGAUGGUUUGCAUUUUCAGGAUCCUAUGAGCACAAUGCAAAUAGGAGGGCAGCCUCUUUU